GUAGCUCAGUGGAAGAGCAUCUGCCUUGCAAGCAGGAGGUCUCAGGUUCAAUCUCCAAUUGCA
Molecule: transfer RNA, 63 nt
Filed under: Podarcis lilfordi (Lilford's wall lizard)
Lineage: Eukaryota; Metazoa; Chordata; Lepidosauria; Squamata; Lacertidae
Description: tRNA.Ala
Rfam family: tRNA
About the family: Transfer RNA (tRNA) molecules are approximately 80 nucleotides in length. Their secondary structure includes four short double-helical elements and three loops (D, anti-codon, and T loops).
Source: RNAcentral